GGGGCCUUCUUGUGUGCGGCCUGGAGCGAGUGCCGCGCGGGCGGCCCUGCCUCGCCCCAGGAAAGUACGUGAUGGUGAUGGGAGUAGUUCAGGCGUGCAGCCCUGAGCCGUGCCUUCAGGCCGUGAAGAUGACAGACCUUUCCGAUAACCCCGUCCAUGAAAGCAUGUGGGCCUUGGAAGUGGAAGAUUUACACAGGAAUAUUCCUUAGAUGUUGGAAGCGUCCUUAAAAACAACCUAAAUUCUGAAACAACUUAGGUCCUUGUCCUAUGUGGAUUUCACGGACAUUGUUCAGUGUGUAGCUCUCAAAAGUUUCUCGGAAAGCUUUGGUUUGGAUCACCAAGUGAUCCAAAUGUAGGGUUUCUAAACGCUGGGACAUUCCAGUUAACUCAGCCCCUGCUGCCCCUUUGCCUUGACUGCUGUUUGCUGAUGAAAAGCAGAUGUGUUCUUUUCCUCUCUGUUUUGGUUUAUGUUUGUUAAUUCUCUCUAAAGCACACAGAAAUCUCAUGUUGCAUUUUCCAAGUUUUACAAGUGAUGAUGCUUUUUCCGUUCCCGCUGUGACCUUAAUUUUAAGAUGCAAACUUUGGAUCUCAGUUGUUGCCCGUGGUGAUUAAAGCGUGGUCGUGGGCAGGAGAACACUGCGUGAAAGGGAUGACAUCAUGACCCUCGGGUCUUCUCCAUCAGCAACUUCCCCAUCCAGUUUGCAACUCACACGGCCUCUCAAAGACACAGCUCACUUUCUGCCACUCAGCCCGUUAAGGUCCACUUCCCUGAGAUGUGCGUGAUGAUGGGAGAUGCGGAAACGCUUUCAAAUUGAUUGAGAACAACUUUUAGAUAUCAACAUCUGCCUUCUGACUUGCUGAGACACUGUGAAGGAGCAUCCUCCUGGUAUAGAGUGCCUUCGUUGUGAUUGUAUUGGAUGUUGGGUUUCUGCCUCUUACCCAACCCUCACUUUUCCUUAGAUUAUAGAUACCAAGGGAGUCAGGUUUUGUUCCAACAUUGCUGUAGAGUUUUGCUGGGUUAUUGAUUUUCUACCACUAAUAAAUUGUUUUAUGUGUUGUAUAUUUUUUUAAAAUAGACUUUUUUCUAGAGCAGCUUUAUAUUUAUGGGAAAAAAGCAGAAAGUACGGAGAGUUCCCGUAUACCCCCUUCCUCAUUUUCUCUUAUUAUUAACAUCUUGCCGUGGUGGGUACAUUUGUUACACUUGAUGAGCCAACAUUGAUUCAUUAUUAUUAACUAAAGUUCAUAGUUCACAUUAGGCGUCACUUUGUGAUGUGCCGUUCUAUGAGUUUUACAUUUAUCUACAUUAUGGUAUCAUACGAACAGUUCCACUGCCCUAAAACUCCUAUGCUCUGUGUCUGUUCAUCCCACUCCCCUUCAGGCUUGGCACCCACUGAUUUUUUUGCUAGUGUCUCCAUAGAUUUGCCUUUUCCAGAAUGUCGUAUAGUUGUAAUCAUACUGUAUGUAUUUCUUUCACUUAGCGAUAUGCAUUUAAGAGUUCUCCAUGUCUGGGUAACUUGAUAGCAAUUUCUUUUUAUUGCUGAAUGCUCACUCCGUUGUAUGAAUGUACCAUGCUUUGUCUUUCACCUACUAAAGGACAUCGGUUUGAUUCCA
Long non-coding RNA from Pteropus alecto (black flying fox), 1611 nucleotides. RefSeq lists it as uncharacterized. The transcript is spliced from 2 exons. The record is from RefSeq and is a predicted model, not a curated record. NCBI's taxonomy places the organism in Eukaryota, Metazoa, Chordata, Mammalia, Chiroptera, Pteropodidae.